Sabethes cyaneus is the source of this 526-nucleotide long non-coding RNA. RefSeq lists it as uncharacterized. The transcript has 5 exons. NCBI's taxonomy places the organism in Eukaryota, Metazoa, Arthropoda, Insecta, Diptera, Culicidae. The record is from RefSeq and is a predicted model, not a curated record.
GCACUCAUCGUCGUUAGUAAACACUAGAUCCAGGAAUCUGUUGUUUUGAUUCGGAAUACUGCAAAUUUGCAACAAGCCACAAGCAGUCAUUGAAUCAACCAACAGUUCUUCUUCUGGCUGUCGUACUUGAUAAGGUGACGACGAAUCAACAAUAUUGCGAAUGCUAUUUACAUACGACUCAUGUCGAUCGAGUUUCGAAUCAGGAGGGAGAUUCGAAAAUAACACUGCUGCAAAACCUCUCAUUAACAGCAAUCAGCACUCCACCACCACUAGACUUAUCAGAAUUGGUUGAAGAUCUAUCGCAACGAAUGCGUAAACAUCAAAAUCACGUUCCAGUGCAGACAUAAAAACAGUUUCCAGCCGGGCACUACUUCGGAUGCUAUUCACAUUUUGCUGGAUCAUGCACGCAAGAAUUAAACCUUUCUGGACUAGCAACACUACGUGACGAGGGUAAAGAGCGAGGUAAAUCAGACCGUCGGGGAUUGUUCACUAUUUGGUUGGGCCGGCGGAGGGAUGCGAAAUAAUU